GAUGAAUGCUGGCGGCGUGCCUAACACAUGCAAGUCGAGCGGCAGCGAGUUUUACACUGAAUUCUGGAAGCUUCUGAGUAGUACAGAAGAUUUAUUCAAGAGUUUUGUGUAAAAUGUCGGCGAGCGGCGGACGGCUGAGUAACGCGUAGGAAUUUGCCCCAAAGUGAGGAAUAACUGCCCGAAAGGGUAGCUAAUGCCGCAUAUGGUCUUCGGAUUAAAGCCUUCGGGCGCUUUGGGAGAAGCCUGCGUUGGAUUAGGUAGUUGGUAGGGUAAUGGCCUACCAAGCCGACGAUCCAUAGCUGGUCUGAGAGGAUGAUCAGCCAGACUGGAACUGAGACACGGUCCAGACUCCUACGGGAGGCAGCAGUGAGGAAUCUUCCACAACGGGCGAAAGCCUGAUGGAGCAACGCCGCGUGAAGGAUGAAGGCCUUCGGGUUGUAAACUUCUUUUAUGAGUGAAGAAUAUGACGGUAACUCAUGAAUAAGCACCGGCUAACUACGUG
Molecule: ribosomal RNA, 502 nt
Filed under: uncultured bacterium
Lineage: Bacteria
Description: partial 16S ribosomal RNA
Rfam family: Bacterial small subunit ribosomal RNA
Source: RNAcentral